CAGACAGACAGACAUGCAGAGAGAGAGAGAGAGCGUGCAGCCAAAGUUGUGUGAGCUAGCAGAGGAAAGGCUGCUGGCCAACCUGUCCACCCUCCUGGCUGAGGAGCCAACCUCUUCAGUAAGGCGGACAGAGGUGCGUCCAUGUAAAUUGACCCCCUGCUACCCGACACCGGAUAAGCGGACGAAUUUGUAUGGAUGGAACCUGACACCAAG
Sander lucioperca (pikeperch) is the source of this 213-nucleotide long non-coding RNA. RefSeq lists it as uncharacterized. The record is from RefSeq and is a predicted model, not a curated record. Lineage: Eukaryota; Metazoa; Chordata; Actinopteri; Perciformes; Percidae. The transcript is spliced from 3 exons.